CGCUUUAAAUCAUCUCCAACUAGAUCCCUUUACACAAACUUAACCGGCGCAAUUCACUAGCCGGUUUUAGAUAUCACAGAAUUGCCCACCGUUCUCAAUUGUAGUAAAGAUAGCCCGAAAAGGUGAAAUUAUCACGGUUUUACCUUCCCGAGCCUAAGAGACCAUCACCGUCUUAGUUCCUUUCCUGCCGGAGUAGCUGAAUCUUGAUGAAUUCACCAUCCUUGUAAUUGAUCCGAUCAAGGAAGCACUACAAACACCAGACUAUCAGCAGAGGAUAGAAAUAUCGUCAAAAGCUGAUGACACCGACAAAACAAACAUCCUCCAAAGAAAAACGAGAUGCGAUGGUAGAAAAAACUGGAUCAAUAAAUUCAUAACCUGCAAAAGGAGAGGAGAACAUUCUACCAAGACAACAAAAAAAUUAUCUCGACAUUGGAAUGACCAAUCCCCACCAGGUCUCCAAGUCGCAAAUCAAACUAGCUGACUCAAUCGGAGCAACUAAACGACAUCUUGGGCUGGACCAGAGAACCUUAUUAUGUCCUCUUUGCGCGUGGGGCUUCUCGACG
Molecule: long non-coding RNA, 563 nt
Filed under: Brassica rapa (field mustard)
Lineage: Eukaryota; Viridiplantae; Streptophyta; Magnoliopsida; Brassicales; Brassicaceae
Description: long non-coding RNA (BRAP_LNC004852)
Source: RNAcentral